This 295-nucleotide ribosomal RNA is filed under the name uncultured bacterium. RNAcentral's name for it is "partial 16S ribosomal RNA". It matches the Rfam family "Bacterial small subunit ribosomal RNA", at positions 333 to 642 of the family's 1533-position model. The record is from RNAcentral.
UCAUCCCUACGGGGGGCAGCAGUGGGGAAUAUUGGGCAAUGGGCGCAAGCCUGACCCAGCAACGCCGCGUGAAGGAAGAAGGCUCUCGGGUUGUAAACUUCUUUUAUGAGGGACGAAACAAAUGACGGUACCUCAUGAAUAAGCCACGGCUAACUACGUGCCAGCAGCCGCGGUAAUACGUAGGUGGCAAGCGUUAUCCGGAUUUACUGGGUGUAAAGGGCGUGUAGGCGGGACUGCAAGUCAGAUGUGAAAAUUAUUGGCUCAACCCAUAACCUGCAUUUGAAACUGUAGUUCU